CCUCCUGCUCUGCCGCCGCCGAAUCUCCGGAGACCAUCUACAGGGGCCCGAUCAGAAAGACAGACACCGAUUACAGCUCUAAACUCCUGGAGGGGGGCUCGGCUCCGGGCGCCGGCCGCUGCGAGCCUCCCGCAUUACGUGCGCUGGAGCCGCCUCAUGUCGCCGGGGCUGACCGGACUGCCACAGGCAGGAUCACAACGAGGAGAGGGGGCUACAGCGCAUGCGCGGCCAGCACACCGAGCUCAACUGCUACAACACUGCCCCUAGCGGCCGGCUCCGCGUAACUGCACCGCUCGGCGCUGCGAGCUGAGGAAGGAGAGGGAAAGAGGCGUGGUGUAACACUUGAAGUGGGCGUGGUGACAUGUGACGUAGCAUUGGAACCCUCAGACAUGCAAGGAUUCGAAGCAUAGAAUGCACACAACAACUUCCUUACUCAGGACCCAGUUUUUAAUACUACUGAGAAGUUUAUUAAUGAAGAGUUCCAUUACCUACAUUGCUGAAAUUCUGACAUUCUUCAUUUCAAGAAAAAGUUGGGAGAAUGUUUGGACACUGAAUAGCUUUUACUUAGUGACCAUAUUUUGUUCUGUUUAAGAACACAGAUUUUGCAAAUCAGUUGUCAUCCUACAACAAUUUACAGUUUAAUGAAUAGAUCCUCGUAUGUAGGAAUGAACCUCUGAUUCAGAUGCGAUUUGUAACAAGUAUAAUUGGGGCUCAAUGUGUUUUGCAUAUGUUGUUCCAUCUGACUAUGCUUUCAAAGUUAUUGCAAAUAGAUACUGCCUUAAUAGUGCAGUCUUAAUGACUACCCAGGAACAAACGUGCCACUGGUUUUCCUGAUUUUGCUUUGGACAAAAUAAUUAUGGAAACACCACC
This is a long non-coding RNA of Pelobates fuscus (common spadefoot toad), 870 nucleotides long. RefSeq lists it as uncharacterized. Lineage: Eukaryota; Metazoa; Chordata; Amphibia; Anura; Pelobatidae. The transcript is spliced from 4 exons. The record is from RefSeq and is a predicted model, not a curated record.